This 253-nucleotide ribosomal RNA is filed under the name uncultured bacterium. RNAcentral describes it as "partial 16S ribosomal RNA". It matches the Rfam family "Bacterial small subunit ribosomal RNA", at positions 524 to 776 of the family's 1533-position model. The record is from RNAcentral.
GACAGAGGGUGCAAACGUUGCUCGGAAUCACUGGGCGUAAAGGGCGUGUAGGCGGGAAGGCAAGUCAGAUGUGAAAUCCCCAGGCUCAACCUGGGAACUGCAUUUGAAACUCCCUUUCUUGAGUACCGGAGAGGAAAGUGGAAUUCCUGGUGUAGAGGUGAAAUUCGUAGAUAUCAGGAGGAACACCAGUGGCGAAGGCGGCUACCUGGACCGGUUCUGACGCUGAGGCGCGAAAGCGUGGGUAGCAAACAGG